UAGUCUCGCACAGAUGCAUAUCAAUAAGCGGAGGAAAAGAAACUAACAAGGAUUCCCUUAGUAACGGCGAGUGAAGCGGGAAGAGCUCAAAUUUGAAAUCUUGAAAGGUCACCUUUCACGAAUUGUAGUUUAAAGAAGUGUUUUCUGUUACGAUCGUAAUAUAAGUUCUUUGGAAUAGGACAUCACAGAGGGUGAGAAUCCCGUCUAUGAUUGCGAUUUGUAGCUUUGUGAUACACUUUCAAAGAGUCGGGUUGUUUGGGAAUGCAGCCCAAAACGGGAGGUAAGUUUCUUCUAAGGCUAAAUAUUGGCGAGAGACCGAUAGCGAACAAGUACCGUGAGGGAAAGAUGAAAAGAACUUUGAAAAGAGAGUUAAAUAGUACGUGAAAUUGUCAAAAGGGAAGCGUUUAACACCAGUGUUGUUUUCUGAAAAUCAACCUCUGUUAGCUUUAUGCAUGUUUGUUUAGACCUAAUCAGCUAUCUUGCAUGUUCUAUUGUUUGCAGUGGUGCACUUUUCAGUUUACAGGUCAACAUCAGUUUUUUUUACCGUAAAAAAGUUAGAGAAAGGUAGCUCAUGGCUCCGGUCGUGAGUGUUAUAGUCUUUUUCCUAUGCGGUAGGAGAGACUGAGGUCUGCAGUGUAGGCUAUUUGGCUAGAUACUCAGGUGCUAUGUGAUACCAUUUCAUAAACAACUUGUUGAUUAUGUUUUGUCUAUUGCAUACUCGCUUGUACUAUCAUACCUACGCUUAGGAUGUUGAAGAUGUAGCACAUCAU
This 770-nucleotide ribosomal RNA is filed under the name uncultured Neocallimastigales. RNAcentral describes it as "partial large subunit ribosomal RNA". It matches the Rfam family "Eukaryotic large subunit ribosomal RNA", at positions 24 to 635 of the family's 3401-position model. The record is from RNAcentral. Lineage: Eukaryota; Fungi; Neocallimastigomycota; Neocallimastigomycetes; Neocallimastigales.